This 528-nucleotide unclassified non-coding RNA is filed under the name Hevea brasiliensis (rubber tree). Lineage: Eukaryota; Viridiplantae; Streptophyta; Magnoliopsida; Malpighiales; Euphorbiaceae. The record is from RNAcentral.
GUGUCUCAAGUGUAACUCACGAGCAAGCCAAAACGGUAGCUCUGCCUUUGAACCUUGUUCCACAUAGCCUCUUUCAGUGCUUUCAUCAAUUUUUACUCCAUUUACUGCGUUGCGGAAUACAACUGGAACAAACUCUUCCUCCGCAAGGAUAUCAUCAAUGUCAUAGUAAUUUGCCAUUCUUGAUGCUCUCUUUUUCGUUCUUGCAAUUUCUCUCGAAUUUAGAAAGAAAUGUUGUGAAUAGAGACAAUUUUGGGUCUUCCAAACUUGCAAGUAUGAAAUUGAAAGUGUAGACCCAGGAACUCUGAUGACGAGUCGUUUUUUUCUAGCUGGACGAUAGGGUUUGGGAUUGCAUAUACACCCACGAUCUCAGCUCCGGCCACCAAUUAGAUGCAAUUCUCAGCCUUGUAUUUACAGANNNNNNNNNNNNAAAAAAAAAAAAAAAAAAAAAAAAAAAAAAAGUGAAAAACUUUGGAUGAAGAUUUGAACUUGUCAGUUUACUUGAAGCUGGAAACCCUAGAAUAGUGAGAC